Wyeomyia smithii (pitcher-plant mosquito) is the source of this 500-nucleotide long non-coding RNA. RefSeq lists it as uncharacterized. The transcript is spliced from 4 exons. Lineage: Eukaryota; Metazoa; Arthropoda; Insecta; Diptera; Culicidae. The record is from RefSeq and is a predicted model, not a curated record.
CGCGGUCUCCGCGGCUUCAGUCUGUGUUGUUGUUUACCGAUUUUGAUUAAGCUUUCUCCAAAUAUUCAAUGCAAUUUCCGUGAAGCAAGGAGUGUGGUAUAAACCGUCGAAGCUAGCGGUAAUUGUGGUUCCGCAUCAAUGAAUUGCCGGGCAAGGCAGCUACUUCAAUUCACAAAUUAGGCUUAGAUCAUUUGCCAGAAAACAACGGAGCUUCAUAGAAAUUAUACACCCAAGUGGAGAUGAGGCAUUUGACCGCGAUGAACAGUUGCUGGAGGAAUAAUUAUUGAUGAUACGAGAGAAGUGGACGGAACAGCUUUGCUACAAGGAGAGUAAUGGUGUUGGCGAUUGAAUAUUAGGUUGCGUUUUUGCAUAAUUUUAAGUUAAAUUUAAUUAUUAUUUAUUCUACACUAAUCUUAAUAUGCAAUCUGUUAAUCUGCAUUUAAAAAGUUUUAACACCAUGUAUUCCUGCAAAUAUACGAAAAUGGAAUGUAUUCAAUAAA